GACGAACCGUGCAAACGUUAUUCGGAAUCACUGGGCGUAAAGGGCGCGUAGGCGGCGCGGGAAGGCGGCGGUGAAAGUCCGGGGCUCAACCCCGGAUCGGCCGUGGCGACUCCCGCGCUGGAGCACAGUAGAGGCGGGUGGAAUUCCGGGUGUAGCGGUGGAAUGCGUAGAGAUCCGGAAGAACACCGGUGGCGAAGGCGGCCCGCUGGCUGUGGCUGACGCUGAGGCGCGACAGCGUGGGGAGCAAACAGG
Molecule: ribosomal RNA, 252 nt
Filed under: uncultured bacterium
Lineage: Bacteria
Description: partial 16S ribosomal RNA
Rfam family: Bacterial small subunit ribosomal RNA
Source: RNAcentral